GGAGGAUCAUUAUCGUAGGGCUUCGGCCCUGUCGAGAUAGAACCCUUGCCUUUUUGAGUACCUUUCGUUUCCUCGGCAGGCUCGCCUGCCAAUGGGGACCACAAAAAACACUUUGCAGUACCUGUAACAGUCUGAACAAACAAACAAAAAUUAAAACUUUCAACAACGGAUCUCUUGGUUCUGGCAUCGAUGAAGAACGCAGCGAAAUGCGAUAAGUAGUGUGAAUUGCAGAAUUCAGUGAAUCAUCGAAUCUUUGAACGCACAUUGCGCCCUUUGGUAUUCCUUAGGGCAUGCCUGUUCGAGCGUCAUUUAAACCUUCAAGCUAAGCUUGGUGCUGGGUGACUGUCCGCUUCACGGCGGACUCGCCUCAAAAUUAUUGGCGGCCGGUACAUUGGCUUCGAGCGCAGCAGAAACGCGAACUCGGGCCCGUCGUAUUGGCUCCCAGAAGCUAUCUUCACAAUUUUGACCUCGGAUCAGGUAGGGAUACCCGCUGAACUUAAGCAUAUCAAUAAGCGGAGGA
Molecule: ribosomal RNA, 520 nt
Filed under: uncultured Pleosporales
Lineage: Eukaryota; Fungi; Ascomycota; Dothideomycetes; Pleosporales
Description: eukaryotic LSU rRNA
Rfam family: 5.8S ribosomal RNA (bases 155-308)
Source: RNAcentral